RNAcentral lists this ribosomal RNA (899 nucleotides) under uncultured bacterium. Its description in RNAcentral is "bacterial SSU rRNA". It matches the Rfam family "Bacterial small subunit ribosomal RNA", at positions 1 to 916 of the family's 1533-position model. The record is from RNAcentral.
UUAGAGUUUGAUCCUGGCUCAGGAUGAACGCUGGCGGCGUGCUUAACACAUGCAAGUCGAACGAUGAUCCGGUGCUUGCACCGGGGAUUAGUGGCGAACGGGUGAGUAACACGUGAGUAACCUGCCCUUGGCUCUGGGAUAAGCCUGGGAAACUGGGUCUAAUACCGGAUAUGACUCCUCAUCGCAUGGUGGGGGGUGGAAAGCUUUUGCGGUUUUGGAUGGACUCGCGGCCUAUCAGCUUGUUGGUGAGGUAAUGGCUUACCAAGGCGACGACGGGUAGCCGGCCUGAGAGGGUGACCGGCCACACUGGGACUGAGACACGGCCCAGACUCCUACGGGAGGCAGCAGUGGGGAAUAUUGCACAAUGGGCGCAAGCCUGAUGCAGCGACGCCGCGUGAGGGAUGACGGCCUUCGGGUUGUAAACCUCUUUCAGUAGGGAAGAAGCGAAAGUGACGGUACCUGCAGAAGAAGCGCCGGCUAACUACGUGCCAGCAGCCGCGGUAAUACGUAGGGCGCAAGCGUUAUCCGGAAUUAUUGGGCGUAAAGAGCUCGUAGGCGGUUUGUCGCGUCUGCCGUGAAAGUCCGGGACUCAACUCCGGAUCUGCGGUGGGUACGGGCAGACUAGAGUGAUGUAGGGGAGACUGGAAUUCCUGGUGUAGCGGUGAAAUGCGCAGAUAUCAGGAGGAACACCGAUGGCGAAGGCAGGUCUCUGGGCAUUAACUGACGCUGAGGAGCGAAAGCAUGGGGAGCGAACAGGAUUAGAUACCCUGGUAGUCCAUGCCGUAAACGUUGGGCACUAGGUGUGGGGGACAUUCCACGUUUUCCGCGCCGUAGCUAACGCAUUAAGUGCCCCGCCUGGGGAGUACGGCCGCAAGGCUAAAACUCAAAGGAAUUGACGG